Long non-coding RNA from Bos taurus (domestic cattle), 1661 nucleotides. The record is from Ensembl. NCBI's taxonomy places the organism in Eukaryota, Metazoa, Chordata, Mammalia, Artiodactyla, Bovidae.
AGCACGACUUCCUCCAAGCAGGGGCUGCCCCCGGCACCGGGAAGGUGGAGCUGAGCAGUGAUUCUAAACGACCAACAAAUGCUUUUAUGAGCCCCUUUGGUGGGUUGCUCUGGCGAUGGGCUCUGCUCCCUGAGACCCACUUCUCUGCCUGUGUUCAAUAUGGGCCGCUCAGCACUCUGCCAGGGGAAACCGUCAAGUAAGGUUGUCUCCUGCAAGUUCUGGAUUCAGAGCCAAGACGAAGAGAAUUAAGUAGCAGGUGGUGGGAACCAGUUCCUGAGAAACACUGGCUGCCUUAAACACCGCUGACCACAGGAUGUCACCAGUGUUCCAUGGAAAUUCUACCGAAAGGGCAUUUACCUGAGAGAGCCCUGGCUUCAUCGCGUGAAACCGAAGCAGAUCUGGGCCUCGGCUGUCCUUGACGAAGAUGUGGCACCUACAAGCAAACCAGUAAACUUAACAGCCCAGAGCCGCUAUUUAAUUGGCCCUGAAGAGAAGUCACCCUGAGGUGGAGUUAAUAACCAGUGCCAGAUCUUUUUUCCUUCCCUUACUUUAAUUUUCUUUGAAAGCUUCCUGCACGAGCCAUGUGGUGACCAAUAGCUAAUGGAAUUACGUGCUACUCAGGUGAGGGGAGCCCGGCCUGCCGCGGUCCAUGGGAUCACAAAAGAGCUGGGCACUACCGAGUGAGCACCCUGAAGUCACUAGGGUGGGCUCUCAUCCAACGUGGCUGAUGUCCUUAUAGGAAGAGGCAGGGACGCAGACAGGCCCAGAGGGACAACCCUGUGGAGACACAGGGAGAAGACGGCUUAGGAGAACCAGCUCUGUCUGCACCUGGUCUGGGACUCUUGGCCUUCAGAAGGGUGAAGACACACGUUUCUGUGGUUUAAGCCCCCCAGUCUGUGGUAACGUGUCAUGGCGGCUCUAGUAAAUCAAUAUUGCUGUUGUUCAGCCACUCAGUUGAAUACAAUACCCUGUGGACUGCAGCCUGCCAGGCUCCUCUGUCCAUGGGGUUCCCCAGGCAAGAAUACUGGAGUGGACUGCCACUUCCUUCGCCAGGGGAUCUUCCCGACCCAGGGAUCGGACCUGUGUCCCCUGCAUUGGCAGGCAGAUUCUUUACUGCUGCACCACCAGGGAAGCCCCAGCAAAGGGACUAAGAUACCUCAGUUUGGCAGUACUUGCUGCGUAAUUCUGAUAAUGGGCUCUUUGGUUAAAUCCAGCUGCUGUCGUCAUCACAAUGGCCCACACCAGCUGAGGACUCUGCGGGUGCUGGGUAUAGUUACUAAGGGGUCUGCACACAUCGGUUGUGUACCCACCAUGAGGGUGUCACCCCUAGUCUUCAGAUGAGAACACUGAGGGCAUGUUCACAUCCACAGGUGGUCCGUUCCGAAUGACCUGACCCCCACCAGUUCCUGUGAGUUGCUCUGAAUAGCAGGAACUGAGUGUCAAAAGUUCUCCACCUCCCCAGAAACAAGCCUCGCCGCCUUGGGCUCCAUCUACGCAGCAGAAUCUUGGCGCCCCUGGAAGUCUGUGAGCCCCUCCCUCAGCUGCAGUGGCAGCUGGUCUGUAACUUGCCCGGGUUUGCACCGUGAGUGGCUGGGCCAACCCGGGAGCUGGCUUGUCUCACGAUCGGCGUUCUUUCCACGAGACCACCUGCCUCAUGUAAC